CCUACGGGAGGCAGCAGUGAGGAAUAUUGGUCAAUGGACGGAAGUCUGAACCAGCCAUGCCGCGUGCAGGAAGACGGCUCUAUGAGUUGUAAACUGCUUUUGUACAAGGGUAAACCUGAAUACGUGUAUUUAUUUGAAAGUACUGUACGAAUAAGGAUCGGCUAACUCCGUGCCAGCAGCCGCGGUAAUACGGAGGAUCCAAGCGUUAUCCGGAUUUAUUGGGUUUAAAGGGUGCGUAGGCGGAUUGUUAAGUUAGGGGUGAAAUGUUCGGGCUUAACUCGGGAAGUGCCUGUGAUACUGUUAGGCUUGAGAGUAGUUGCGGUAGGCGGAAUGUAUGGUGUAGCGGUGAAAUGCUUAGAGAUCAUGCAGAACACCGAUUGCGAAGGCAGCUUACCAAGCUACUUCUGACAUUGAGGCACGAAAGCGUGGGGAGCAAACAGGAUUAGAUACCCCUGUAGUC
Molecule: ribosomal RNA, 460 nt
Filed under: uncultured bacterium
Lineage: Bacteria
Description: partial 16S ribosomal RNA
Rfam family: Bacterial small subunit ribosomal RNA
Source: RNAcentral